GAUGAACGCUGGCGGCGUGCCUAAUACAUGCAAGUCGAGCGAACGGACGAGAAGCUUGCUUCUCUGAUGUUAGCGGCGGACGGGGGAGUAACACGUGGAUAACCUACCUAUAAGACUGGGAUAACUUCGGGAAACCGGAGCUAAUACCGGAUAAUAUUUUGAACCGCAUGGUUCAAAAGUGAAAGACGGUCUUGCUGUCACUUAUAGAUGGAUCCGCGCUGCAUUAGCUAGUUGGUAAGGUAACGGCUUACCAAGGCAACGUUGCAUAGCCGACCUGAGAGGGUGAUCGGCCACACUGGAACUGAGACACGGUCCAGACUCCUACGGGAGGCAGCAGUAGGGAAUCUUCCGCAAUGGGCGAAAGCCUGACGGAGCAACGCCGCGUGAGUGAUGAAGGUCUUCGGAUCGUAAAACUCUGUUAUUAGGGAAGAACAUAUGUGUAAGUAACUGUGCACGUCUUGACGGUACCUAAUCAGAAAGCCCCGGCUAACUACGUG
RNAcentral lists this ribosomal RNA (497 nucleotides) under uncultured bacterium. RNAcentral describes it as "partial 16S ribosomal RNA". It matches the Rfam family "Bacterial small subunit ribosomal RNA", at positions 28 to 507 of the family's 1533-position model. The record is from RNAcentral.